RNAcentral lists this ribosomal RNA (498 nucleotides) under uncultured bacterium. RNAcentral describes it as "partial 16S ribosomal RNA". It matches the Rfam family "Bacterial small subunit ribosomal RNA", at positions 30 to 523 of the family's 1533-position model. The record is from RNAcentral.
AUUGAACGCUGGCGGCAUGCCUUACACAUGCAAGUCGAACGGUAACAGGUCUUCGGAUGCUGACGAGUGGCGAACGGGUGAGUAAUACAUCGGAACGUGCCUAGUAGUGGGGGAUAACUACUCGAAAGAGUGGCUAAUACCGCAUGAGAUCUACGGAUGAAAGCAGGGGAUCGCAAGACCUUGUGCUACUAGAGCAGCCGAUGGCAGAUUAGGUAGGUGGUGGGAUAAAAGCUUACCAAGCCGACGAUCUGUAGCUGGUCUGAGAGGACGAUCAGCCACACUGGGACUGAGAAACGGCCCAGACUCCUACGGGAGGCAGCAGUGGGGAAUUUUGGACAAUGGGCGCAAGCCUGAUCCAGCAAUGCCGCGUGCAGGAUGAAGGCCUUCGGGUUGUAAACUGCUUUUGUACGGAACGAAAAGCCCCGGGUUAAUACCCUGGGGUCAUGACGGUACCGUAAGAAUAAGCACCGGCUAACUACGUGCCAGCCGCCGCGGUAA